Molecule: ribosomal RNA, 475 nt
Filed under: Trithemis nuptialis
Lineage: Eukaryota; Metazoa; Arthropoda; Insecta; Odonata; Libellulidae
Also listed under: 2 other names
Description: partial 16S ribosomal RNA
Rfam family: Bacterial large subunit ribosomal RNA
Source: RNAcentral
CUGACCUGCCCGGUGAUUAAUUUAACGGCCGCGGUAUACUGACCGUGCAAAGGUAGCAUAAUCAUUAGUCUUUUAAUAGAGGGCUGGAAUGAAAGGUUUAACGAGGAAUUGACUGUCUCAUUUUAUUUGUUUUAAAAUUUAAUUUUUUGGUUAAAAAGCUAAAAUUUCAUUGGAAGACGAGAAGACCCUAUAGAUCUUUAUAAAACUAUAAUUAGCUAUUAUUAUAUUAAUAUAAUUAAUUAUAUUUUUAUUUUGUUGGGGUGACAAAAAUAUAUAAUAAACUUUUUUAUUUAUAUAACAUUGAUUUAUGAUUAUAGGAUCCAUUAUUAGUGAUUAUUAGAUUAAGUUACCUUAGGGAUAACAGCGUAAUCCUCCUCCAGAGUUCAUAUUUACAGGAUGGGCUUGCGACCUCGAUGUUGGAUUAAGAUAAUAAUCAGGUGUAGCCGCUUGAUUUAUAGGUCUGUUCGACCUUUAA